AUUGAACGCUGGCGACAUGCCUUACACAUGCAAGUCGAACGGCAGCACGGGUGCUUGCACCUGGUGGCGAGUGGCGAACGGGUGAGUAAUACAUCGGAACAUGUCCUGUAGUGGGGGAUAGCCCGGCGAAAGCCGGAUUAAUACCGCAUACGAUCUACGGAUGAAAGCGGGGGACCUUCGGGCCUCGCGCUAUAGGGUUGGCCGAUGGCUGAUUAGCUAGUUGGUGGGGUAAAGGCCUACCAAGGCGACGAUCAGUAGCUGGUCUGAGAGGACGACCAGUCACACUGGGACUGAGACACGGCCCAGACUCCUACGGGAGGCAGCAGUGGGGAAUUUUGGACAAUGGGCGAAGGCCUGAUCCAGCAAUGCCGCGUGUGUGAAGAAGGCCUUCGGGUUGUAAAGCACUUUUGUCCGGAAAGAAAUCCUUGGCCCUAAUACGGUCGGGGGAUGACGGUACCGGAAGAAUAAGCACCGGCUAACUACGUG
RNAcentral lists this ribosomal RNA (486 nucleotides) under uncultured bacterium. RNAcentral's name for it is "partial 16S ribosomal RNA". It matches the Rfam family "Bacterial small subunit ribosomal RNA", at positions 30 to 507 of the family's 1533-position model. The record is from RNAcentral.